GCGUCGGUGGUGCAACGGUCCAGCACACGUUUCCGGGAAGGGUGAGAUCUGGGUGCGAAUCCCGGCUGACGCA
Non-coding RNA from Parelaphostrongylus tenuis, 73 nucleotides. The record is from the annotation of a GenBank genome assembly. Lineage: Eukaryota; Metazoa; Nematoda; Chromadorea; Rhabditida; Metastrongylidae.